GACGAACGCUGGCGGCGUGCUUAACACAUGCAAGUCGAACGGUAAGGCCCUUCGGGGUACACGAGUGGCGAACGGGUGAGUAACACGUGGGUGAUCUGCCCUGCACUUCGGGAUAAGCCUGGGAAACUGGGUCUAAUACCGGAUAGGACCACUGCCUGCAUGGGUGGUGGUGGAAAGCUUUUGCGGUGUGGGAUGGGGCCGCGGCCUAUCAGCUUGUUGGGGGGGUGAUGGCCUACCAGGGCGACGACGGGUAGCUGGCCUGAGAGGGUGACCGGCCACACUGGGACUGAGAUACGGCCCAGACUCCUACGGGAGGCAGCAGUGGGGAAUAUUGCACAAUGGGCGCAAGCCUGAUGCAGCGACGCCGCGUGAGGGAUGACGGCCUUCGGGUUGUAAACCUCUUUCAGCACCGACGAAGCGCAAGUGACGGUAGGUGCAGAAGAAGGACCGGCCAACUACGUGCCAGCCGCCGCAGUAA
Molecule: ribosomal RNA, 478 nt
Filed under: uncultured bacterium
Lineage: Bacteria
Description: partial 16S ribosomal RNA
Rfam family: Bacterial small subunit ribosomal RNA
Source: RNAcentral